Molecule: ribosomal RNA, 440 nt
Filed under: uncultured bacterium
Lineage: Bacteria
Description: partial 16S ribosomal RNA
Rfam family: Bacterial small subunit ribosomal RNA
Source: RNAcentral
CCUACGGGUGGCUGCAGUCGAGAAUCAUUCACAAUGGGGGAAACCCUGAUGGUGCGACGCCGCGUGAGUGAAGAAGUAUUUCGGUAUGUAAAGCCCUAUCAGCCGGGAAGAAAAUGACAGUACCUGACCAAGAAGCCCCGGCUAACUACGUGCCAGCAGCCGCGGUAAUACGUAGGGGGCAAGCGUUAUCCGGAUUUAAUGGGUGUUAAGGGAGCGUAGACGGUUAUGUAAGUCUGGAGUGAAAGCCCGGGGCCAAACCCCGGGACUGCUGUGGAAACUGUGUAACUGGAGUACAGGAGGGGCAGGCGGAAUGCCUGGUGUAGCGGUGAAAUGCGUAGAUAUCAGGAGGAACACCGGCGGCGAAGGCGGCCUGCUGGACUGAAACUGACGUUGAGGCUCGAAAGCGUGGGGAGCAAACAGGAUUAGAUACCCCGGUAGUC